CCUANGGGUGGCUGCAGUGAGGAAUAUUGCGCAAUGGGCGAAAGCCUGACGCAGCGACGCCGCGUGGGGGAUGAAGGCCUUCGGGUUGUAAACCCCUUUCAGGAGGGAAGAUGGAGCGGGUAACCGCUCGGACGGUACCUCCAGAAGCAGCCACGGCUAACUCUGUGCCAGCAGCCGCGGUAAGACAGAGGUGGCAAGCGUUGUUCGGAUUUACUGGGCGUAAAGGGUGCGUAGGUGGUUAGGUAAGACCUGCGGGAAAGACCUGGGCUUAACCCAGGAAGGUCACAGGUGACUGCCUAGCUUGAGGACGGGAGAGGAGAGCGGAAUUCCCGGUGUAGCGGUGAAAUGCGUAGAGAUCGGGAGGAAGGCCGGUGGCGAAGGCGGCUCUCUGGAACGUUCCUGACACUGAGGCACGAAAGCGUGGGGAGCAAACAGGAUUAGAUACCCUUNUANUC
RNAcentral lists this ribosomal RNA (455 nucleotides) under uncultured bacterium. Its description in RNAcentral is "bacterial SSU rRNA". It matches the Rfam family "Bacterial small subunit ribosomal RNA", at positions 338 to 795 of the family's 1533-position model. The record is from RNAcentral.